This 497-nucleotide ribosomal RNA is filed under the name uncultured bacterium. RNAcentral describes it as "partial 16S ribosomal RNA". It matches the Rfam family "Bacterial small subunit ribosomal RNA", at positions 28 to 507 of the family's 1533-position model. The record is from RNAcentral.
GAUGAACGCUGGCGGCGUGCCUAAUACAUGCAAGUCGAGCGAACAGACGAGGAGCUUGCUCCUCUGACGUUCGCGGCGGACGGGUGAGUAACACGUGGAUAACCUACCUAUAAGACUGGGAUAACUUCGGGAAACCGGAGCUAAUACCGGAUAAUAUAUUGAACCGCAUGGUUCAAUAGUGAACGACGGUUUUUCUGUCACUUAUAGAUGGAUCCGCGCCGCCUUAGCUAGUUGGUAAGGUAACGGCUUACCAAGGCAACGAUGCGUAGCCGACCUGAGAGGGUGAUCGGCGACACUGGAACUGAGACACGGUCCAGACUCCUACGGGAGGCAGCAGUAGGGAAUCUUCCGCAAUGGGCGAAAGCCUGACGGAGCAACGCCGCGUGAGUGAUGAAGGUCUUCGGAUCGUAAAACUCUGUUAUUAGGGAAGAACAAAUGUGUAAGUAACUAUGCACGUCUUGACGGUACCUAAUCAGAAAGCCACGGCUAACUACGUG